CACGGUCUGGGAUUGGACCGCAGAUCCUUUACUAGAUCGCAGCAGCCAACCACCGCCAAACCAUCUCAACCCUCCAACCCACCCAAUCCCAUCCGUCCAUUUUUCGAUUACUACUUCUCCACUUCCUUCUUAUAUUUUCCUCCCACUUUAACCUAUUCCCCUCUUUCCCUCUCUCUCCUCACAUCACCCAGUAGCCGUUUUCCUCCACAAACCCUCACUUAGAGAGAGAGAGAGAUAAUAAGUGAUGGACUCAGACCAGGGAAAGCUCUUCAUCGGCGGGAUUUCGUGGGAGACCACCGAGGAGAAGCUGAAGGACUACUUCGAGUCCUACGGCGCGGUCUUGCAGACCGUUAUCAUGAGAGACAAGCUCACUGGGAAGCCAAGGGGGUUUGGGUUCGUCGUGUUUGCAGAUCCGUCGGUCCUCGAUAGGGUUCUUCAGGACGCGCACACCAUUGACGGCCGAACUGUUGAGGCUAAGAGGGCCUUAUCAAGGGGUGAACAACAGCCUUCCUCCAGGUCUGGACAUAAUAAUAAUGCUAGAAACUUUGGAAGUGGCGGAGAAACCAAGACCAAGAAAAUAUUUGUUGGAGGCUUGCCACCUACUUUGAGCGAGGAAGGAUUUCGUCAGUAUUUUGAGUCUUAUGGUAAUGUGACGGAUGUGGUAGUUAUGUAUGAUCAGCAAACCCAACGACCUCGUGGAUUUGGGUUUGUUUCCUUUGAUGACGAGGAUGCAGUCGAUAGGGUUUUGCACAAGACAUUCCAUGAUUUAGACGGUAAGCAAGUGGAAGUCAAGCGUGCUCUGCCUAAAGAUUCCAACCCUGGCGGUGGUGGCAGUGGCCGUUCCAUGGGUGGAGGUGCUGGGGGUGGUGGUGGUGGUUAUCAGGGUUACAGUGCUUCUGGCGGCAACUCUGGUUCUUAUGAUGGUCGAGUGGAUUCUUCCAACAGGUACAUGCAAUCGCAGAAUACUGGAGGUGGGUUCCCACCUUAUGCUUCUUCUGGGUAUAAUGCUCCUGGUUAUGGAUAUGGUCCUUCAAAUAACAGCAUGGGUUAUGGUGGUUAUGGAAGUUAUGGUGGCCCCGGAGCUGCGGGAUACGGAAACCCAAAUGUCCCUAGUGCUGGUUAUGGAAGUGGUCCACCGGGGGCCCCACGGAGUUCAUGGAGCUCUCAGGCUCCCUCUGGCUAUGGUGCUGUUGGACCCACGGGUCAAUCUCCUGGCGGAGGAGCUUCUGGGUAUGGCGCCCAAGGGUAUGGUUAUGGUGGGUAUGGUGGGUCAGAUGGGUCUUAUGCAAAUCAAGCCGCGUAUGGUGCUGUUGGAGGGCGCGCAGGGAGUGUCCCAAAUAGCAAUGCUCCUGGUAGUGGUGCUGGAGAGAUGCAGGGUGGUGGUGGGGGCUACAUGGGAGGUAGCUAUGGCGAUGCCAAUGGGAAUGUAGGGUAUGGAAAUCAAGGAUGGACCUCUCAAGCUUCUGGAAAUUAUGGAGCUCAGGCAAAUUCGCAAGGCGGGCCAGUUGGAUAUGGUAGUGGUUAUGGUGGUGCUCCAACACGACAGGCUCAACAGCAAUGAUUGGAUGGCUUUAUUCCAUCUUGGACUUUGGACCUUUUUGCUCUGAAGAUAUCCAUCAAGGCUAUUGUCCCAUGUCUUCCAGAAAGGAGGGGAUGGCUCUUGUUGGAUGUCGUCCACACAUUAAACUGGAGAGAGAAAGAUGCCCAAGUUCUGAAGUGGUCAUAGUUGACCUAAUGAUGGCAGUCAUAUUUCCGGAAUCAUCCCAUUUCUUGUUUGGAAUCUCUCACAUUCUUCAUUCGGGUUGUGGUGAGCUGAUGGAUUUUUCAAAGCUGAACAAACAGCAAACCGGCACACAACUGAACUGAAACUGGAGAAAAACAGAAGCUUAGUCCUUAUUUUGUUUCAGAAGGGAGUUUGUAAAGGAGGCUGCGACAUUAAAUCGGCUGGUAUUACUGGAAGGGGAGGUGAUGUGGAAAUCGGUGACUUAAGGUGAGAAAGCAACUGUGCGAGUUUGGGGCACGUUUGGUCUUGGCUUAGUUUAUUUCCUCCCUGUAUUUCUUGUCUUUUCGUGUUAAUAUUUGGGUUGUUUGCUCCCUCGGCACUUUAUCUAGUGCAAUCUCUUGUUGCUUACAAAGGAGGUGGUGAAACCGGGGGAGAAAUUUAUAGAACAAGUGUAUAUGCAUUUGGGGGAUUUUUUUUUUUUUGCCCCCGUGCUAAAAUCAUGCUGGACGCAACUCAACUUUGGCUCAUUCUCUCAAGCCUUUUGAGUUACUUGGGCGCAAUGGCGAGUUUUAUUUCCUCUUCGCUCUGUGAGUCUGGUUAUACCAGUCUACGACCAUGGUUCGAGUUGUGGAAAUCAGUCUCUUCGUGAAGUUUUGGACAGGCUUCCUACGGUUCUUGAUUGGGAUCAAGAAUGAACUCAAAAUUAAAGCUCAUCUAUUCACUUAGUUUGUGACUCUACACACUUGAGCAAAUCCCGACCUUUUCCUUGUUUUUUUUUUUAAGGUGGGAAUAAUAUCGUAGGUCCCAGAAUUGGGACCGUAGUGUUUGUAAGAUUGUUUUAACAUGUAAGUGAGAACAGUAUAUAUUUGUUCGAGUAAAUCCUAAUAUUGAUGAUCUUGAAAAA
Molecule: RNA transcript, 2627 nt
Organism: Rhododendron vialii
Lineage: Eukaryota; Viridiplantae; Streptophyta; Magnoliopsida; Ericales; Ericaceae
Gene name: heterogeneous nuclear ribonucleoprotein 1
Exons: 4
Source: RefSeq, a predicted model, not a curated record